AAUUUAUAUCCUACAAGUUUAAACAUAAAAUAAGUUUAAUUUAUAUCCUAAAAGUUCAAUUCAUAUCCAAAAGGUCUAAUUCAUAUCUUAAAAGUUCAAUUCAUAUCCUAAAAGUUCAAUUCACAAGAACAAAUCCUAAAAACUAAAAGUUCAAUUUAUAUCCUACGAGUUUAAACAUAAACUAAAAGUUUAAUUUAUAUCCUAAAAGUUCAAUUCAUAUCCAAAAGGUCCGAUUCAUAUCCUAAAAGUUCAAUUCACAAGAACAAAUCCUAAAAACUAAAAGUUCAAUUUAUAUCCUACGAGUUUAAACACAAACUAAAAGUUUAAUUUAUAUCCUAAAAGUUCAAUUCAUAUCCAAAAGGUCCAAUUCAUAUCCUAAAAGUUCA
This 386-nucleotide long non-coding RNA is filed under the name Nicotiana tabacum (common tobacco). RNAcentral describes it as "long non-coding RNA (NTAB_LNC002022)". Lineage: Eukaryota; Viridiplantae; Streptophyta; Magnoliopsida; Solanales; Solanaceae. The record is from RNAcentral.